RNAcentral lists this non-coding RNA (24 nucleotides) under Arabidopsis thaliana (thale cress). Lineage: Eukaryota; Viridiplantae; Streptophyta; Magnoliopsida; Brassicales; Brassicaceae. The record is from RNAcentral.
AAGCAGGAUCAAACAUAGGCCGUG